AAAAAAUUUACUGUUUGUAAAACAUGCAGAUUUGAUGGUCCUCCUGUGAGCAUUUGCUAUGAAGUUAUGCCUGGCAAGACUGUCUACUUAUUAAGUAGAAUUUAUUUAGUUUGUAUUAUUAUUGUCUAAAGAGCUCAAAAAGUUCAUUCACUUCACUAUUCGUGAAAACCUUUAACUGGCAAAUGAUUUGUUUUUGUGAGUUUCCUUAAAAAAAGAAAAAAAAAGCUUACUUGCAUUUAUUCACAUACCACAUGCCCCUGAAUAAGACGUGCACAUAAAAAGAAAGUUCUUCUUUGAAAAUACGUAUUUGAACAUAAGCUAAAAAAAAAAACUUGAAACCUAUUCUUUAUGCUUGUAAGCAGAUGUUACCUCUCUCCCAGGAGAAAGCAUUUUGUUCUGUGCCAAACAGUCUACAGACGUAAUGUCCAGUCUUGGGCUAAGUCCCACGAAAGUAUGCAGGACAAAGCGUGUUCCUGCUUUCUCCCGAGACACUGCAGAAUGCAUCUGUGUGGUUACUGUAGAUCAGUGUCUUGGGACAAGCUGGGUAGGAGGUCAUCUAGGCAUCCUUCAAUGCACGGCUCCCACACGCUGGCUACUCGAAUGCAAAGCAGCAGCUCUAGCAUCAGGACAGAAGUCUACUGCCCAGAAAUGACAGGUCACAGGUGGCCUUGCUCACCUUUUUAAGGCCCUCUAACAGAAACUUCCCAGCUAUUCUGUGCUCACCAGCCAUACAACCAAGGUCAGCAUCAGAACCCAACUGUUCAUGCAAAGCAUCGGGAGGACAUCCCGAGCGCAAACCAUGGCCCCACCAACUACUUUCAAGUCAUCUACAAGCACAACACCAGUCAGAACCAAGGUAAGAUACUGGACCAUUGCUGCAGAAACAGUAGUCCACAAGCAAAAGGGUGACUGACCACAACACCAGCAGAACUGCAGGAUGCCAAGGGAGCAGCUCAUAAAGGCCCAGGAUAUGAACUGCAUAUCUGGCACACGCAGGGCAUGGCACGCCUACUACGAGGCAAUGAACGACAGAGCAGCCUCAACACAUUGUGGGCACAGCCUGCAUCUCCUGGGACUCAGAUCUCACCAUCACUACAUGCCCCCAGAGACACCCAGAUAACCCUAGAGCUGAUCAAGGUCAAGGAUUCCCUGCCUCUUCAGGACAGCAGCACAGACAUGAAGACAGACCUGGAGCUGGACAGCAACCAAUCCAAGUCCUCCGGUUGUCUGGAACAUCCUGGCCAUCCCGAUGUGCAGGAAUGAGCUGCAAAUCCACUGGCAAAGCUCUCCAUCACUGUGCACAAUGCACUUAGCAAUGCUGUCCUCCUAGUCCCAGGGACCCAUUCAACAUGAGAAAAUAUGCAGAUGCCUUUUCCUGCCUGCCCACAGUUACAUCUGUUAGCUCCAAGGUGGGAACCCCAAAGCUGAACCUCCUUUUACCCCUGUACUGAAGGUAACAAGCAAGAGAACAGGGGGUGGGCAAAGUGCCAAAAACCAUCCCAUGGUUUGUUCCCAAGAAGGGAUGAGGAACCCCAAGUUGAGCCUCAUGGCAAGCCUCCCCACCACUCCCCAUUUUGUUUGACGAGGAGAGGUGAGGGGCAGUGGGGUGGUACCACUGCAAUUGAAUCAAACAAUUAAGUCCCAUCAUUGCUUUAUGGAGGUGCAUCUAAGAGACUGUGCCAUCACUGUACGCAAUGGGUUCUUUUCACCUUUAAUCGAAGAGCAGUUCUAGCAGUCACCCACUUGACAUCCCAUUCAGUGGCUAUACUAGGACCACCCCCCACCCCACCCCACCCCAGCCCAAUGGUUGAACAAUAGCUACUGAGGUCCCUCCCUGCUGCACUUGGCUUCACCCCUGGAAUUUGAGAAAAGGCUCUGGGCCUCACACGGAGGAUGAAGGCAGCUUGCCCAGCCCCUGAUCCUGCCCAUCCACAUGUAGCUUAGAGCUGCUCAACUGAUUGUUGGGACCGGCCCCCCACCAGCUCAGCCUCCUCCUCAUGUGAAAGUUGCUUUUAUACCCUUCAUUCAAAAACACUACUCAUUAAAGAGGAUAAAAACACUUUAUUGUAAGAAACUGCAAGGUGAUGAAAAAGGGAGGACGAGUUAGGAAACAAUCAGGGAGAAAGACUUGGGGCUUUUUAUUCAGUACACAUGCAGGGCCAGUGCGCAGACAAUUCAAAUCCAAGUCCAACCCCUCACUCAGUCACCAAGAGCACCCCAUGUCCUUCUCCCAACCAAACAGUCUGUCUGUCAGCCUGCC
Molecule: long non-coding RNA, 2260 nt
Organism: Gavialis gangeticus (Gharial)
Lineage: Eukaryota; Metazoa; Chordata; Crocodylia; Gavialidae
Exons: 3
Source: RefSeq, a predicted model, not a curated record